Molecule: ribosomal RNA, 497 nt
Filed under: uncultured bacterium
Lineage: Bacteria
Description: partial 16S ribosomal RNA
Rfam family: Bacterial small subunit ribosomal RNA
Source: RNAcentral
GAUGAACGCUGGCGGCGUGCCUAAUACAUGCAAGUCGAGCGCACGGACGAGAAGCUUGCUUCUCUGAUGUUAACGGCGGACGGGUGAGUAACACGUGGAUACCCUACCUAUCAGACUGGGAUCACUUCGUGAAACCGGAGCUAAUACCGGAUAAUCUUUUGAACCGCAUGGUUCAAAAGUAAAAGACGGUCUUGCUGUCAUUUAUAGCUGGAUCCUCGCUGCAUUAGCUAGUUGGUAAGGUAACGGCUUACCAAGGCAACGAUGCAUAGCCGACCUGAGAGGGGGAUCGGCCACACUGGAACGGAGACACGGUCCAAACUCCUACGGGAGGCAGCAGUAGGGAAUCUUCCGCAAUGGGCGAAAGCCUGACGGAGCAACGCCGCGUGAGUGAUGAAGGUCUUCGGAUCGUAAAACUCUGUUAUUAGGGAAGAACAUAUGUGUAAGUAACUGUGCACAUCUUGACGGUACCUAAUCAGAAAGCCACGGCUAACUACGUG